RNAcentral lists this small nuclear RNA (246 nucleotides) under Pteropus alecto (black flying fox). RNAcentral describes it as "7SK RNA". It matches the Rfam family "7SK RNA", at positions 64 to 331 of the family's 331-position model. Rfam says of the family: 7SK was discovered as an abundant small nuclear RNA in the mid-70s but a possible function has only recently been suggested. The record is from Rfam by way of RNAcentral. Lineage: Eukaryota; Metazoa; Chordata; Mammalia; Chiroptera; Pteropodidae.
GAACUCAUUGAUCUGUCCAGAAUUCCCUUCCUCUGAAAGCUCCAUGUGUGUUCUUCUCAAAGUGUCAACUCAAUCAAAAAGAAUGACAUUUCCAACUGACAAAGUCUAUUAGUCAAGGUAUAUGGGGAGCUGUACUCCCUGGCUAGAUCUUUCCAAAAAACUUUGACAUCCCUUUGCAAGCAAAUGUAGGUUAGCCAAAUCUGUUUUAUAAAGUGCCUCUCUCCAUCUGGUAAUUUGUGAUAGCAU